Molecule: long non-coding RNA, 1427 nt
Organism: Triticum dicoccoides
Lineage: Eukaryota; Viridiplantae; Streptophyta; Magnoliopsida; Poales; Poaceae
Exons: 5
Source: RefSeq, a predicted model, not a curated record
AUCUAUAUUAACACUCUGUCUAUCUAUAAUAACGUCCACUUGCUCCGUAUGGUGUGCAGCGUUCUACUCUUUGUCUCUAGUUUAGACUUUAGAGGCACCGACUACACUUUGUCUACUUAUAUUCUGUCAAUUAACUAAGUAAAGAAAUUAGUUUUCGUCAAUUAUAUGUAUUUAGACUCUUUGCAGGUGUUUCAUGUAUCACAAACUCAAAUGAAAUAAGAGUGUUGGAAUUGAUCUCUAGGCUAACCUCCUGACUACCCGAGAGAAAAAAGGGGAGGCCAGUGACUACUUAGUCCCAGUUUCCGUAACCUGGGGACAUCUGGCCUGAUAGGUGUCCACAAGUGACUGGUCCAGCCUAUCGAUCGUUGUACAAAGGGAGGCCAGUGUAUUUGUUGCCGGUAUUAUGUAGUAUUGAGGGUGUUGGCGUCUUUGCUGGUAUAUGCACAAACAGAUAACAAAAAUGGCAAUGUCUUUGCAUAGACCCCAAUCGGCAACAGGAAAGGAAUAAAAGAGUUCGGUUGACUCUGUCUAGAAUAAUUAAUAUCCGCUUUCUCUGGUUAUUUGUAGUUUAGAGGCACUAAAGACACUUAUAGAUGAAUAUAUGAUGUUAUUUAAUUAGCUAAUAAUUCAGUUUGGUCAACUAUGUAUCUAGACGCUUUGCAAGUGUUUGAUGUAUCACAAAACUGAAAUGAGACAAGAGUGUUGGAAUUGAUGGAGACACAAUACCACUUUACUGGAUUGUGGUGAGACCAAAACUAAUUCUCGAGUGGAUUGGAAGUCAAGGACUCGCAACUUGACAGCGACAUCUAUAUGACGACACGGCAGUUGAAUUAGUUCCAUCUGUUUGUACUUCUAUGCAUGACAUUUAUCUGGGGGACGAUCCAGGUUCAUACUCCUGGGCUCUCUUGCUGGAAGACUCCAUUCACAAGCCAUCUUUCAGGCCUGAAUUCUUCGGCAUCCUCACCCCAAAGAUCCAAAUUAAAUGUCGAAGCUAUCUGGACUUGUUAUUUGGACAAUACUCUUAAGAUGAAUAGCAAGAGGAAUCAUUUGUACCACCGGAACACCAGGAUACAGCCGGAGAGUCUCAGUAAUCGCAGCAUGGAGAGCAUGUAGAAGAACCAUGUAAGGGUAUUCCCUGUGGUGUUUUUACCAGCAAUCAGGAAACUGAGGACUAUGUCACGAAGGAUCCAGUUUAACAUCUGACAUGUAGACUGAACCAUCUACCACCAAUCCACCAUAUUAUUGGUUAGCAAGAAAGAGAGGAGGAACAAAUAUGAUAAGCAAGGAGAACUACCCUGCUGUAUUUACUGAAGUUUGUCUUGAGGACAUGCUCGAUGACGGCAGGGUCGGCGGUUAAGAUCUCACUGUGCCCAGGAUAGACGAGCCUGAUGGUAGGGUGCAUGAGCGCAUACUUGACAUGCUCAUCG